RNAcentral lists this ribosomal RNA (680 nucleotides) under uncultured anaerobic ammonium-oxidizing bacterium. RNAcentral's name for it is "bacterial SSU rRNA". It matches the Rfam family "Bacterial small subunit ribosomal RNA", at positions 585 to 1254 of the family's 1533-position model. The record is from RNAcentral.
AAGUCAGAUGUGAAAGCCUUCUGUUCAACGGAAGAAUUGCAUCUGAAACUGCGAGUCUUGAGUGUAGGAGGGGAGAAUGGAACUUCUGGUGGAGCGGUGAAAUGCGUAGAUAUCAGAAGGAACGCCGGCGGCGAAAGCGAUUCUCUGGCCUAUUACUGACACUCAGUGUGCGAAAGCUAGGGGAGCAAACGGGAUUAGAUACCCCGGUAGUCCUAGCCGUAAACGAUGGGCACUAAGUAGAGGGAAUUACCGAUAUUCUCUCUGCCGUAGCUAACGCAUUAAGUGCCCCGCCUGGGGAGUACGGCCGCAAGGCUAAAACUCAAAAGAAUUGACGGGGGCUCGCACAAGCGGUGGAGCAUGUGGCUUAAUUCGAUGCAACGCGAAAAACCUUACCGGGGCUUGACAUGAUAGAAGUAGGAACCCGAAAGGGUAACGAACGGUAUCCAGUCCGUAGCUAUUACAGGUGUUGCAUGGCUGUCGUCAGCUCGUGUCGUGAGACGUUGGGUUAAGUCCCCUAACGAGCGAAACCCUUGUUUUUAGUUGCCAGCGGGUUGUGCCGGGCACUCUAGAAAGACUGCCGUCGUCAAGACGGAGGAAGGUGGGGACGACGUCAAGUCAUCAUGGCCCUUAUGCCCCGGGCUGCACACGUGCUACAAUGGUCGGUACAAACGGAAGCGAAG